This 1542-nucleotide ribosomal RNA is filed under the name Escherichia coli. RNAcentral describes it as "bacterial SSU rRNA". It matches the Rfam family "Bacterial small subunit ribosomal RNA". Lineage: Bacteria; Pseudomonadati; Pseudomonadota; Gammaproteobacteria; Enterobacterales; Enterobacteriaceae. The record is from RNAcentral.
AAAUUGAAGAGUUUGAUCAUGGCUCAGAUUGAACGCUGGCGGCAGGCCUAACACAUGCAAGUCGAACGGUAACAGGAAAAAGCUUGCUUUUUUGCUGACGAGUGGCGGACGGGUGAGUAAUGUCUGGGAAACUGCCUGAUGGAGGGGGAUAACUACUGGAAACGGUAGCUAAUACCGCAUAACGUCGCAAGACCAAAGAGGGGGACCUUCGGGCCUCUUGCCAUCGGAUGUGCCCAGAUGGGAUUAGCUUGUUGGUGGGGUAACGGCUCACCAAGGCGACGAUCCCUAGCUGGUCUGAGAGGAUGACCAGCCACACUGGAACUGAGACACGGUCCAGACUCCUACGGGAGGCAGCAGUGGGGAAUAUUGCACAAUGGGCGCAAGCCUGAUGCAGCCAUGCCGCGUGUAUGAAGAAGGCCUUCGGGUUGUAAAGUACUUUCAGCGGGGAGGAAGGGAGUAAAGUUAAUACCUUUACUCAUUGACGUUACCCGCAGAAGAAGCACCGGCUAACUCCGUGCCAGCAGCCGCGGUAAUACGGAGGGUGCAAGCGUUAAUCGGAAUUACUGGGCGUAAAGCGCACGCAGGCGGUUUGUUAAGUCAGAUGUGAAAUCCCCGGGCUCAACCUGGGAACUGCAUCUGAUACUGGCAAGCUUGAGUCUCGUAGAGGGGGGUAGAAUUCCAGGUGUAGCGGUGAAAUGCGUAGAGAUCUGGAGGAAUACCGGUGGCGAAGGCGGCCCCCUGGACGAAGACUGACGCUCAGGUGCGAAAGCGUGGGGAGCAAACAGGAUUAGAUACCCUGGUAGUCCACGCCGUAAACGAUGUCGACUUGGAGGUUGUGCCCUUGAGGCGUGGCUUCCGGAGCUAACGCGUUAAGUCGACCGCCUGGGGAGUACGGCCGCAAGGUUAAAACUCAAAUGAAUUGACGGGGGCCCGCACAAGCGGUGGAGCAUGUGGUUUAAUUCGAUGCAACGCGAAGAACCUUACCUGGUCUUGACAUCCACAGAACCUUGUAGAGAUACGAGGGUGCCUUCGGGAACUGUGAGACAGGUGCUGCAUGGCUGUCGUCAGCUCGUGUUGUGAAAUGUUGGGUUAAGUCCCGCAACGAGCGCAACCCUUAUCCUUUGUUGCCAGCGGUCCGGCCGGGAACUCAAAGGAGACUGCCAGUGAUAAACUGGAGGAAGGUGGGGAUGACGUCAAGUCAUCAUGGCCCUUACGACCAGGGCUACACACGUGCUACAAUGGCGCAUACAAAGAGAAGCGACCUCGCGAGAGCAAGCGGACCUCAUAAAGUGCGUCGUAGUCCGGAUUGGAGUCUGCAACUCGACUCCAUGAAGUCGGAAUCGCUAGUAAUCGUGGAUCAGAAUGCCACGGUGAAUACGUUCCCGGGCCUUGUACACACCGCCCGUCACACCAUGGGAGUGGGUUGCAAAAGAAGUAGGUAGCUUAACCUUCGGGAGGGCGCUUACCACUUUGUGAUUCAUGACUGGGGUGAAGUCGUAACAAGGUAACCGUAGGGGAACCUGCGGUUGGAUCACCUCCUUA